AGUGAACGCUGGCGGUAGGCCUAACACAUGCAAGUCGAACGGCAGCACAGUAAGAGCUUGCUCUUACGGGUGGCGAGUGGCGGACGGGUGAGGAAUACAUCGGAAUCUACUUUUUCGUGGGGGAUAACGUAGGGAAACUUACGCUAAUACCGCAUACGACCUACGGGUGAAAGCAGGGGAUCUUCGGACCUUGCGCGAAUGAAUGAGCCGAUGUCGGAUUAGCUAGGUGGCGGGGUAAAGGCCCACCAAGGCGACGAUCCGUAGCUGGUCUGAGAGGAUGAUCAGCCACACUGGAACUGAGACACGGUCCAGACUCCUACGGGAGGCAGCAGUGGGGAAUAUUGGACAAUGGGCGCAAGCCUGAUCCAGCCAUACCGCGUGGGUGAAGAAGGCCUUCGGGUUGUAAAGCCCUUUUGUUGGGAAAGAAAAGCAGCAGGUUAAUACCCCGCUGUUCUGACGGUACCCAAAGAAUAAGCACCGGCUAACUUCGUG
Molecule: ribosomal RNA, 492 nt
Filed under: uncultured bacterium
Lineage: Bacteria
Description: partial 16S ribosomal RNA
Rfam family: Bacterial small subunit ribosomal RNA
Source: RNAcentral